RNAcentral lists this ribosomal RNA (476 nucleotides) under uncultured bacterium. RNAcentral's name for it is "partial 16S ribosomal RNA". It matches the Rfam family "Bacterial small subunit ribosomal RNA", at positions 28 to 523 of the family's 1533-position model. The record is from RNAcentral.
GAUGAACGCUGGCGGCGUGCUUAACACAUGCAAGUCGAGCGAGUGAGUUCUUCGGAACGAUCUAGCGGCGGACGGGUGAGUAACACGUGGGCAACCUGCCUCAUAGAGGGGAAUAGCCUCCCGAAAGGGAGAUUAAUACCGCAUAAAAUAAUCGAGUGGCAUCACAUGAUAAUCAAAGGAGUAAUCCGCUAUGAGAUGGGCCCGCGGCGCAUUAGCUAGUUGGUGAGGUAACGGCUCACCAAGGCGACGAUGCGUAGCCGACCUGAGAGGGUGAUCGGCCACAUUGGGACUGAGACACGGCCCAGACUCCUACGGGAGGCAGCAGUGGGGAAUAUUGCACAAUGGGGGAAACCCUGAUGCAGCAACGCCGCGUGGGUGAUGAAGGUCUUCGGAUUGUAAAGCUCUGUCUUUGGGGACGAUAAUGACGGUACCCAAGGAGGAAGCCACGGCUAACUACGUGCCAGCCGCCGCCGUAA